GACGAACGCUGGCGGCGUGCCUAACACAUGCAAGUCGAACGCUGAAGCCCAGCUUGCUGGGUGGAUGAGUGGCGAACGGGUGAGUAACACGUGAGUAACCUGCCCCCUUCUUUGGGAUAACGCCCGGAAACGGGUGCUAAUACUGGAUAUUCACUGGCCUUCGCAUGGGGGUUGGUGGAAAGGUUUUUUCUGGUGGGGGAUGGGCUCGCGGCCUAUCAGCUUGUUGGUGGGGUGAUGGCCUACCAAGGCUUUGACGGGUAGCCGGCCUGAGAGGGUGACCGGUCACAUUGGGACUGAGAUACGGCCCAGACUCCUACGGGAGGCAGCAGUGGGGAAUAUUGCACAAUGGGCGAAAGCCUGAUGCAGCGACGCCGCGUGAGGGAUGACGGCCUUCGGGUUGUAAACCUCUUUCGCUCAUGGUCAAGCCGCAGCUUUGGGUUGUGGUGAGGGUAGUGGGUAAAGAAGCGCCGGCUAACUACGUGCCAGCAGCCGCGGUAAUACGUAGGGCGCGAGCGUUGUCCGGAAUUAUUGGGCGUAAAGGGCUUGUAGGCGGUUGGUCGCGUCUGCCGUGAAAUCCUCUGGCUUAACUGGGGGCGUGCGGUGGGUACGGGCUGACUUGAGUGCGGUAGGGGAGACUGGAACUCCUGGUGUAGCGGUGGAUGCGCAGAUAUCAGGAGAACACCGGUGGCGAUGCGGGUCUCUGGGCGUUACUGACGCUGAGGAGCGAAGCGUGGGGAGCGAACAGG
This 746-nucleotide ribosomal RNA is filed under the name uncultured Actinomyces sp. RNAcentral describes it as "bacterial SSU rRNA". It matches the Rfam family "Bacterial small subunit ribosomal RNA", at positions 28 to 776 of the family's 1533-position model. The record is from RNAcentral. Lineage: Bacteria; Bacillati; Actinomycetota; Actinomycetes; Actinomycetales; Actinomycetaceae.